UAGGGAAUCUUCCGCAAUGGACGCAAGUCUGACGGAGCAACGCCGCGUGAGUGAAGAAGGAUUUCGGUUCGUAAAACUCUGUUGUUAGAGAAGAACAGCGCAUAGAGUAACUGUUAUGCGUGUGACGGUAUCUAACCAGAAAGCCACGGCUAACUACGUGCCAGCAGCCGCGGUAAUACGUAGGUGGCAAGCGUUGUCCGGAUUUAUUGGGCGUAAAGCGAGCGCAGGCGGUCAAUUAAGUCUGAUGUGAAAGCCCCCGGCUCAACCGGGGAGGGUCAUUGGAAACUGUUUGACUUGAGUGCAGAAGAGGAGAGUGGAAUUCCAUGUGUAGCGGUGAAAUGCGUAGAUAUAUGGAGGAACACCAGUGGCGAAGGCGACUCGCUGGUCUGUAACUGACGCUGAGGUUCGAAAGCGUGGGUAGCAAACAGG
This 429-nucleotide ribosomal RNA is filed under the name Bacteroidota bacterium. Its description in RNAcentral is "Bacteroidetes bacterium partial 16S ribosomal RNA". It matches the Rfam family "Bacterial small subunit ribosomal RNA", at positions 355 to 776 of the family's 1533-position model. The record is from RNAcentral. Lineage: Bacteria; Pseudomonadati; Bacteroidota.